ACAGGGAUUGCCCUAGUAACGGCGAGUGAAGCGGCAACAGCUCAAAUUUGAAAUCUGGCGUCUUUGGCGUCCGAGUUGUAAUUUGCAGAGGGCGCUUUGGCAUUGGCAGCGGUCCAAGUUCCUUGGAACAGGACGUCACAGAGGGUGAGAAUCCCGUACGUGGUCGCUAGCCUUUACCGUGUAAAGCCCCUUCGACGAGUCGAGUUGUUUGGGAAUGCAGCUCUAAAUGGGAGGUAAAUUUCUUCUAAAGCUAAAUACUGGCCAGAGACCGAUAGCGCACAAGUAGAGUGAUCGAAAGAUGAAAAGCACUUUGGAAAGAGAGUUAAAAAGCACGUGAAAUUGUUGAAAGGGAAGCGCUUGCAGCCAGACUUGCCUGUAGUUGCUCAUCCGGGUUUCUACCCGGUGCACUCUUCUAUAGGCAGGCCAGCAUCAGUUUGGGCGGUUGGAUAAAGGUCUCUGUCAUGUACCUCCUUUCGGGGAGAACUUAUAGGGGAGACGACAUGCAACCAGCCUGGACUGAGGUCCGCGCAUCUGCUAGGAUGCUGGCGUAAUGGCUGUAAGCGGCCCGUCUUGAAACACGGACCAAGGAGUCUAACAUCUAUGCGAGUGUUUGGGUGUCAAGCCCGAACGCGUAAUGAAAGUGAACGGAGGUGGGAACCUUUCGGGGUGCACCAUCGACCGAUCCUGAUGUCUUCGGAUGGAUUUGAGUAAGAGCAUAGCUGUUGGGACCCGAAAGAUGGUGAACUAUGCUUGAAUAGGGUGAAGCCAGAGGAAACUCUGGUGGAGGCUCGCAGCGGUUCUGACGUGCAAAUCGAUCGUCAAAUUUGGGCAUAGGGGCGAAAGACUAAUCGAACUAUCUAGUAGCUGGUUCCUGCCGAAGUUUCCCUCAGGAUAGCAGUAACGUUUUCAGUUUUAUGAGGUAAAGCGAAUGAUUAGAGGCCUGGGGGUUGAAACAACCUU
Molecule: ribosomal RNA, 960 nt
Filed under: Remotididymella capsici
Lineage: Eukaryota; Fungi; Ascomycota; Dothideomycetes; Pleosporales; Didymellaceae
Also listed under: 1 other name
Description: partial large subunit ribosomal RNA
Rfam family: Eukaryotic large subunit ribosomal RNA
Source: RNAcentral